This 489-nucleotide ribosomal RNA is filed under the name uncultured bacterium. Its description in RNAcentral is "partial 16S ribosomal RNA". It matches the Rfam family "Bacterial small subunit ribosomal RNA", at positions 28 to 507 of the family's 1533-position model. The record is from RNAcentral.
GGUGAACGCUGGCGGCGUGCUUAACACAUGCAAGUCGAACGAUGAAGCUGGAGCUUGCUCUGGUGGAUUAGUGGCGAACGGGUGCGUAACACGUGAGCAACCUGCCCCUGACUCUGGGAUAACAGCCGGAAACGGCUGCUAAUACCGGAUAGGCACCAUGCACGCAUGUUCUGUGGGGGGAAAGCUUUUUCGGUUGGGGAUGUGCUCGCGGGGUAUCAGCUUGUUGUUGGGGGAAUGGCUCACCAAGGCGUCGACGGGUAGCAGGUCGGAGAGGGUGAUCGGCCACACGGGAGCGGAGCCACGGUCCAGGCGCCUACGGGAGGCAGCAGUGGGGAAUAUUGGACAGUAGGCGGGAACCUGACCCAGCCAGACCGCGUGGGAGAAGAAGGCCUUCGGGUUGGAAAGCCGUUUUGUUGGGAAAGAAAAGCAGCAGGUUAAUACCCCGCGGGUCUGACGGUACCUAAAGAAUAAGCACCGGCUAACUUCGUG